CCUACGGGAGGCAGCAGUGGGGAAUAUUGCACAAUGGGGGAAACCCUGAUGCAGCGACGCCGCGUGAGUGAAGAAGUAUUUCGGUAUGUAAGGCUCUAUCAGCAGGGAGGAAAAUGACGGUACCUGACUAAGAAGCCCCGGCUAACUACGUGCCAGCAGCCGCGGUAAUACGUGGGGGGCAAGCGUUAUCCGGAUUUACUGGGUGUGAAGGGAGCGUAGACGGCGCGGCAAGUCUGAAGUGAAAGGCAGGGGCUUAACCCCUGAACUGCUUGUGAAACUGCCAUGCUAGAGGGCUGGAGAGGUAAGUGGAAUUCCUAGUGUAGCGGUGAAAUGCGGAGAUAUUAGGAGGAACACCAGUGGCGAAGGCGGCUUACUGGACAGUAACUGACGUUGAGGCUCGAAAGCGUGGGGAGCAAACAGGAUUAGAUACCCGUGUAGUC
RNAcentral lists this ribosomal RNA (440 nucleotides) under uncultured bacterium. Its description in RNAcentral is "partial 16S ribosomal RNA". It matches the Rfam family "Bacterial small subunit ribosomal RNA", at positions 338 to 795 of the family's 1533-position model. The record is from RNAcentral.